RNAcentral lists this ribosomal RNA (396 nucleotides) under uncultured bacterium. RNAcentral describes it as "bacterial SSU rRNA". It matches the Rfam family "Bacterial small subunit ribosomal RNA", at positions 358 to 771 of the family's 1533-position model. The record is from RNAcentral.
GGAAUAUUAGACAAUGGGCGCAAGCCUGAUCCAGCCAUGCCGCGUGAGUGAUGAAGGUCUUAGGAUUGUAAAGCUCUUUCACCGGUGAAGAUAAUGACGGUAACCGGAGAAGAAGCCCCGGCUAACUUCGUGCCAGCAGCCGCGGUAAUACGAAGGGGGCUAGCGUUGUUCGGAUUUACUGGGCGUAAAGCGCACGUAGGCGGACUUUUAAGUCAGGGGUGAAAUCCCAGAGCUCAACUCUGGAACUGCCUUUGAUACUGGAAGUCCUGAGUAUGGAAGAGGUGAGUGGAAUUCCGAGUGUAGAGGUGAAAUCCGUAGAUAUUCGGAGGAACACCAGUGGCGAAGGCGGCUCACUGGUCCAUUACUGACGCUGAGGUGCGAAAGCGUGGGGAGCAA